Molecule: ribosomal RNA, 495 nt
Filed under: uncultured bacterium
Lineage: Bacteria
Description: partial 16S ribosomal RNA
Rfam family: Bacterial small subunit ribosomal RNA
Source: RNAcentral
CGAACGCUGGCGGCGUGCCUCAUACAUGCAAGUUGAGCGCUGAAGGUUGGUACUUGUACCAACUGGAUGAGCAGCGAACGGGUGAGUAACGCGUGGGGAAUCUGCCUUUGAGCGGGGGACAACAUUUGGAAACGAAUGCUAAUACCGCAUAAAAACUUUAAACACAAGUUUUAAGUUUGAAAGAUGCAAUUGCAUCACUCAAAGAUGAUCCCGCGUUGUAUUAGCUAGUUGGUGAGGUAAAGGCUCACCAAGGCGAUGAUACAUAGCCGACCUGAGAGGGUGAUCGGCCACAUUGGGACGGAGACACGGCCCAAACUCCUACGGGAGGCAGCAGUAGGGAAUCUUCGGCAAUGGACGAAAGUCUGACCGAGCAACGCCGCGUGAGUGAAGAAGGUUUUCGGAUCGUAAAACUCUGUUGGUAGAGAAGAACGUUGGUGAGAGUGGAAAGCUCAUCAAGUGACGGUAACUACCCAGAAAGGGACGGCUAACUACGUG